Molecule: non-coding RNA, 70 nt
Organism: Phrynosoma platyrhinos (Desert horned lizard)
Lineage: Eukaryota; Metazoa; Chordata; Lepidosauria; Squamata; Phrynosomatidae
Source: the annotation of a GenBank genome assembly
GCCAGCGUGGCAUAGUGGUUUAAGCAUUAGACGACAACUGGAGACCAGGGUUCAAAUCCCUGCUCAGCCA